RNAcentral lists this ribosomal RNA (469 nucleotides) under Neospintharus sp. The_748. RNAcentral describes it as "partial large subunit ribosomal RNA". The stretch from base 211 to 469 matches the Rfam family "Archaeal large subunit ribosomal RNA", at positions 2156 to 2680 of the family's 2987-position model. The record is from RNAcentral. Lineage: Eukaryota; Metazoa; Arthropoda; Arachnida; Araneae; Theridiidae.
UUUUAUCAAAAACAUUUCCUAUAGAAAUUAUUUUAGGUAAAACCUGCUCAAUGAAUAUUUUUUAAUAGCCGCAAUUUAUUUGUGCUAAGGUAGCAUAAUCAUUUGUUUUUUGAUUAAAAACUAGAAUGAAUGGUUUAACAUUUAAAUUUCUAUUUAAAAUUUAAUUUAUAAAAUUAUACUAAAAAUAAAAAUAUUUUUAUAAAAAAAUUAGACGACAAGACCCUAUUGAACUUAACUUAUGUUAAGCUGGGGCAGCUUUUUAAUAAAAAUUUUAAAUAUUUUUUAAAAAAUUUAUCCAAAAUUUUUGAAUUAUUAAUCAAGUUACCAUAGGGAUAACAGCGUAAUUUUUGUAAAAAGUUCUUAUUUAAACAAAAGUUUGCGACCUCGAUGUUGAAUUAAAUUUUCUAUAUUUUGCAAUAGAAAUAUUAGUAGGUCUGUUCGACCUAUAAAAAUUUACAUGAUCUGAGUU